GGAAUUGUUCGCAAUGGGCGCAAGCCUGACGACGCAACGCCGCGUGGAGGAUGAAGAUCUUCGGGUCGUAAACUCCUUUCGAUCGAGACGAACGGCCUCCGGGUGAACAAUCCGGCGGCGUGACGGUACCGAGAGAAGCAGCCCCGGCGCACCCCGUUCCCGCAGCCGCGGUAAUACGGGGGGGGCAAGCGUGGUUCGGAAUUACUGGGCGUAAAGGGCUCGUAGGCGGCCGACUAAGUCAGACGUGAAAUCCCUCGGCUUAACCGGGGAACUGCGUCUGAUACUGGAUGGCUUGAGUUCGGGAGAGGGAUGCGGAAUUCCAGGUGUAGCGGUGAAAUGCGUAGAUAUCUGGAGGAACACCGGUGGCGAAGGCGGCAUCCUGGACCGACACUGACGCUGAGGAGCGAAAGCCAGGGGAGCAAAC
This 424-nucleotide ribosomal RNA is filed under the name uncultured bacterium. Its description in RNAcentral is "bacterial SSU rRNA". It matches the Rfam family "Bacterial small subunit ribosomal RNA", at positions 358 to 773 of the family's 1533-position model. The record is from RNAcentral.